CUUGAAAAAAUUAGAGUGUUUAAAGCAGGCUAACGCUUGAAUACAUUAGCAUGGAAUAAUGAAAUAGGACAUCGCAUUCUAUUAUGUUGGUUUCUAGGAUCGAUGUAAUGAUUAAUAGGGAUAGUUGGGGGCAUUAGUAUUCAAUUGUCAGAGGUGAAAUUCUUGGAUUUAUUGAAGACUAACUACUGCGAAAGCAUUUGCCAAGGAUGUUUUCAUUAAUCAAGAACGAAAGUUA
This 235-nucleotide ribosomal RNA is filed under the name uncultured Glomus. RNAcentral's name for it is "partial 18S ribosomal RNA". It matches the Rfam family "Eukaryotic small subunit ribosomal RNA", at positions 756 to 992 of the family's 1831-position model. The record is from RNAcentral. Lineage: Eukaryota; Fungi; Glomeromycota; Glomeromycetes; Glomerales; Glomeraceae.